GAAGCUGACCAGACAGUCGCCGCUUCGUCGUCGUCCUCUUCGGGGAGACGGGCGGAGGGGAGGAAAGUCCGGGCUCCAUAGGGCAAGGUGCCAGGUAACGCCUGGGGGUGUAACAACCCACGACCAGUGCAACAGAGAGCAAACCGCCGAUGGCCCACGCAAGUGGGAUCAGGUAAGGGUGAAAGGGUGCGGUAAGAGCGCACCGCGCGGCUGGCAACAGUCCGUGGCACGGUAAACUCCACCCGGAGCAAGGCCAAAUAGGGGUUCAUAAGGUACGGCCCGUACUGAACCCGGGUAGGCUGCUUGAGCCAGUGAGCGAUUGCUGGCCUAGAUGAAUGACUGUCCACGACAGAACCCGGCUUAUCGGUCAGUUUCACUU
RNAcentral lists this RNase P RNA (379 nucleotides) under Pseudocitrobacter faecalis. RNAcentral describes it as "RNase P RNA component class A". It matches the Rfam family "Bacterial RNase P class A". From Rfam's summary of the family: Ribonuclease P (RNase P) is a ubiquitous endoribonuclease, found in archaea, bacteria and eukarya as well as chloroplasts and mitochondria. Its best characterised activity is the generation of mature 5'-ends of tRNAs by cleaving the 5'-leader elements of precursor-tRNAs. The record is from RNAcentral. Lineage: Bacteria; Pseudomonadati; Pseudomonadota; Gammaproteobacteria; Enterobacterales; Enterobacteriaceae.